ACAUGGCUCCUUGUUUUCUUACAUAGGGAGUCGGACCUGCUCGGUGAAUAUAUUUUAACAGCCGCGGUACUCUGACCGUGCAAAGGUAGCAUAAUCAUUUGCCUUAUAAUUGAAGGCUAGUAUGAAUGGUUUGACGAGAAUUAAGCUGUCUCUUUUUAACUAAAUAUAACUUUAUUAAGAGGUGAAGAAGCCUGUAUUUUAUUGAAAGACAAGAAGACCCUAUCGAGCUUUAAAGAAUUUAGUAGAUUUACCGUAUAUUAAUAAAAAAGUAAAGCAACUAAUUAUUUUGGUUGGGGCGACUGAGGAACAAACAAAGCUUCCUUUAUGCUAAUUAAAACUUACAAGUAUUGAUCCAAUUUAUUUGAUUAAAGAAAUUAGUUACCGUAGGGAUAACAGCAUAAUCUCCUUUGAGAGCUCUCAUCGAAAAGGGGGUUUGUGACCUCGAUGUUGGACCAGAAUACCCAGAAGAUGCAGCCGUCUUCAAUGGUUGGUCUGUUCGACCAUUAAAAUUCUACAUGA
Molecule: ribosomal RNA, 519 nt
Filed under: Reishia clavigera
Lineage: Eukaryota; Metazoa; Mollusca; Gastropoda; Neogastropoda; Muricidae
Description: partial large subunit ribosomal RNA
Rfam family: Bacterial large subunit ribosomal RNA
Source: RNAcentral